Molecule: long non-coding RNA, 1363 nt
Organism: Passer domesticus (house sparrow)
Lineage: Eukaryota; Metazoa; Chordata; Aves; Passeriformes; Passeridae
Exons: 3
Source: RefSeq, a predicted model, not a curated record
CCUGUCUAUAAAAGAAAAGAGUACUUCGUGUCAAAGCUGCUGCUGUGCAAACCAGCCUUCUAGUGAAUUUGGAUAAUUUCUUGAUGAACAGUAUCAGCUGCAUAUUCCAUAUAAUUCCCUUUUUCAAAUAUCAGAUACCAAAUGGACUGUGACAACAGUCUCUGCUGGAAAAAGGGCUCUGCGUCUCAUGCCUUGCCCAUCAGGGCAUUUGAAGGAUUUAGAAAUCAAAAGACUCAAUGAAAUGCAACGUAGUACUCCAAAGAAUAAUGUGACAGGAUAAUCCUUCCUCAGUAUGGAGGAAUUCAGAAGAGAAAUAAGCCCUUUACUGAGAACACAUGGUCCAUUAAGAUCACUUUGAAAGACAGUGAUGGAAAUAACUGUAAAGCCAAUUGCUGCUCCUAAGUGCCUUCUGGAGAGAUGACUGAGCACCGAAAAUCAGCACCAAAUGCUUCAUCUUGCAAAAAGACUCAGAGGGAGUUACACAAGUGAUUGCUGUGUAACACUGCCAAAAGGAUUUUGUCAGUCUUUGACUGAUUUACAUCAGCAACAUCAAUUUCAAUCUUGCUUUGCAUUUUGUCAUUUAAGUGUUUGCUUACAAAACUUGAUUGAUAGCUAUAAGGAUGUAUUGAUUUCAAGUUAAACACUGCCUUUAUAGUAACCACAGUAAUUUCUGGUAACCAUAAUUUCAUACAGAAUAAUUUUACUCUUUGUAAUAACUGCAGUAAUUUUUGGUAAGCAUAAGGUUAUUCAUUAUAUUUAAUCAUUAUAAAUUUACUUCAGUACAUAUUUAUGAAUACUUUAAUAUUUCACAAUUUAAUUAUGUUUAAAAUUAUAAGCUGACUGUUUAUUUUUUAGAUUAUUAGUAGUUUAUUUAUUAAUAUAUUUAUGAAUAUUUGUCUGCUUACAUUUGGGUUUUUGUUGGAGAUCCAUUAAAAUGCAUUAAAAAUUGUUAAAAUUACUGCAAGAACUUCAGGAAAAAUAUCUGAAAUAUGAUAUAGACAGAAAAAUGUAAAUUUAUGAAAAGGAACAUAGCAUAUAAAACAGGCACAUUAAAUUAUAAAAAUAAAUUAAUUAAAACAUAUUAAUGACUGUGGUCACCAUGCUUUUUAGGUAUGUUUUUUGAGUGAUGACUAUUUUGUUUUCUACAUUUGCAGUCAAAAGUACAAUGAGACAGUAGCUUUCUGAUAUUCUCAUUCUCUCAUAAGCUAGAAGAAACAAAACAACAUUCCCAUAUUUAAAACUUUUAAAAUCACUGCAAGAACUUCAGGAAAAGCAUUUUAAGCAGUAUGCAUAUAGAUAAAGGCAAAAACUUUGCUUGGAGAGGGUGUGUUCUCAUCCUUGCUCAAUAGGUACAGGAAGUACA